This 459-nucleotide ribosomal RNA is filed under the name uncultured bacterium. RNAcentral's name for it is "partial 16S ribosomal RNA". It matches the Rfam family "Bacterial small subunit ribosomal RNA", at positions 338 to 795 of the family's 1533-position model. The record is from RNAcentral.
CCUACGGGAGGCUGCAGUGAGGAAUAUUGGUCAAUGGGCGGAAGCCUGAACCAGCCAAGUAGCGUGCGGGAUGAAGGCCCUACGGGUCGUAAACCGCUUUUGCACGGGGAUAACACCCUCCACUUGUGGAGGUCUGCAGGUACCGUGCGACUAAGGGCCGGCUAAUUCCGUGCCAGCAGCCGCGGUAAUACGGAAGGCCCGAGCGUGAUCCGGAUUCAUUGGGCUUAAAGGGAGCGUAGGCGGGCGUUCAAGUCAGCUGGAAAAUCGCUCGGCUAAACCGAACCCCGCAUUUGAAACUGGACGCCUUGAGUACACAACAGGCAGGCGGAAUUCGUGGUGUAGCGGUGAAAUGCAUAGAUAUCACGAGGAACCCCGAUGGCGAAGGCAGCCUGCCGGGGUGCGACUGACGCUGAGGCGCGAAGGUGCGGGUAUCAAACAGGAUUAGAUACCCUAGUAGUC